UACGAAGGGGGCUAGCGUUGCUCGGAAUCACUGGGCGUAAAGCGCACGUAGGCGGCUUUUUAAGUCAGAGGUGAAAUCCUGGAGCUCAACUCCAGAACUGCCUUUGAUACUGAGAGGCUUGAGUCCGGGAGAGGUGAGUGGAACUGCGAGUGUAGAGGUGAAAUUCGUAGAUAUUCGCAAGAACACCAGUGGCGAAGGCGGCUCACCGGCCCGGUACUGACGCUGAGGUGCGAAAGCGUGGGGAGCAAACAGG
Molecule: ribosomal RNA, 253 nt
Filed under: uncultured bacterium
Lineage: Bacteria
Description: partial 16S ribosomal RNA
Rfam family: Bacterial small subunit ribosomal RNA
Source: RNAcentral